This 444-nucleotide long non-coding RNA is filed under the name Homo sapiens (human). RNAcentral describes it as "non-protein coding lnc-TOR3A-2:2". Lineage: Eukaryota; Metazoa; Chordata; Mammalia; Primates; Hominidae. The record is from RNAcentral.
AUGGAGAAACUCCAUCUCUACUAAAACUACAAAAAAUUAGCCGGGCGUGGUGGCACAUGCCUGUAACCCCAGCUACUCGGGAGGCUAAUACUUUGAAAUAUAUAUAUGUGUGUGUAUACAUAUAUAUACAUAUAUAUGUAUGUAUGUAUAUAUGAAUGACUACUACUUCAUAUUACUUCAGCCCAGGCGCAGUCUUAAAACCUUCGGAGGUUGCAGUGAGGCCAGAUCGUGCCACUGCACUCCAGCCUGGGUGACAGAGCAGAGACUCUGUCUCAAAAAAAAAAAAAUAAAAUAAAGAGAGGCAAGAUGUUAGACCAGGCUGACAGUUGUUCAGCUAGCUCCUUUACCCUUUUCCCUGGUCCCCUUGAAUGGGUAGCUUAGUUAACAUCUGAAGACUUAAUUAGAAUAUUACAACAGACAAGUCUGAAGUUACCUAAAUGAAAU